AUGUCAAUUCUUUUCAACCGGUGUGUUUCUCUUCAAGUGGAUCCGAUCAUUUCAAAAACCGCAAGAUCAAGUAUCAGUUUUUCUCAACGGUGUUUGUUUCAUCCGUCCCCAAGUUGCCUUUGUUUUCCCGCCCACCCACCCUUUUUCUUCAAGGAAUCCGAUGUCAUAAUCAAGUAUCCUUUUAUUCAUGAGAAGUCUCUCCAUUCCUUUUUACGUCAAUGUUCUUAUCCGUUGUUACUCAGGAAGAUGCCAACGGAGCUUCAAGUUCGUCACCCUUCACUCAUUUUUCUUCUUCGGUGGUUUAAAUUCAAGCUUUUGGUGUUGAUCAUAUCCUUUUUCCUUGUUUCAAGUACCUUCUCUUAUCGGUGCUCCUCAUAUUCAUUCAUUUCUCGCUAUUCAAUUGUUCCGGAGUGCUCAAGAUAUCUCAGAAGAUUCGUUUCCAUUCUCAAUCCGUUCAAGCUUUUGCGAGGUUCUUAUCUUAUUCAAGCCAUUUAA
RNAcentral lists this ribosomal RNA (495 nucleotides) under Triticum aestivum (bread wheat). RNAcentral describes it as "partial small subunit ribosomal RNA". Lineage: Eukaryota; Viridiplantae; Streptophyta; Magnoliopsida; Poales; Poaceae. The record is from RNAcentral.